Molecule: ribosomal RNA, 253 nt
Filed under: uncultured bacterium
Lineage: Bacteria
Description: partial 16S ribosomal RNA
Rfam family: Bacterial small subunit ribosomal RNA
Source: RNAcentral
UACGUAGGGUGCAAGCGUUGUCCGGAAUUAUUGGGCGUAAGGAGCUCGUAGGCGGUCUGUCGCGUCUGCUGUGAAAACUCAGGGCUUAACCCUGAGCUUGCAGUGGGUACGGGCAGACUAGAGUGCGGUAGGGGAGACUGGAAUUCCUGGUGUAGCGGUGAAAUGCGCAGAUAUCAGGAGGAACACCGGUGGCGAAGGCGGUGGUCUGGGCCGAUACUGACGCUGAGGAGCGAAAGCGUGGGGAGCGAACAGG